This 446-nucleotide ribosomal RNA is filed under the name uncultured bacterium. RNAcentral describes it as "partial 16S ribosomal RNA". It matches the Rfam family "Bacterial small subunit ribosomal RNA", at positions 338 to 795 of the family's 1533-position model. The record is from RNAcentral.
CCUACGGGUGGCAGCAGUCGAGAAUCAUUCACAAUGGGGGAAACCCUGAUGGUGCGACGCCGCGUGGGGGAAUGAAGGUCUUCGGAUUGUAAACCCCUGUCAUGUGGGAGCAAAUUAAAAAGAUAGUACCACAAGAGGAAUAGACGGCUAACUCUGUGCCAGCAGCCUCGGUAAUACAGAGGUCUCAAGCGUUGUUCGGAAUCACUGGGUGUAAAGCGUGCGUAGGCUGUUUCGUAAGUCGUGUGUGAAUGGCGCGGGCUCAACCCGCGGACGGCACAUGAUACUGGGAGCCUAGAGUAAGGGAGGGGGAACCGGAAUUCGCGGUGUAGCAGUGAAAUGCGUAGAUAUCGAGAGGAACACUCGUGGCGAAGGCAGGUUCCUGGACAUAAACUGACGCUGAGGCACGAAGGCCAGGGGAGCGAAAGGGAUUAGAUACCCUAGUAGUC